Molecule: ribosomal RNA, 595 nt
Filed under: uncultured bacterium
Lineage: Bacteria
Description: bacterial SSU rRNA
Rfam family: Bacterial small subunit ribosomal RNA
Source: RNAcentral
CCCUUCACUACGGAAUAGCCUCUGGAAACGGAGAGUAAUACCGUAUGCGCCCUUCGGGGAAAGAUUUAUCGGUGAAGGAUUAGCCCGCGUCUGAUUAGAUAGUUGGUGGGGUAACGGCCUACCAAGUCGACGAUCAGUAGCUGGUUUGAGAGGAUGAUCAGCAACACUGGGACUGAGACACGGCCCAGACUCCUACGGGAGGCAGCAGUGGGGAAUCUUAGACAAUGGGCGCAAGUGAUCUAGCCAUGCCGCGUGAGUGACGAAGGCCUUAGGGUCGUAAAGCUCUUUCGCCAGGGAUGAUAAUGACAGUACCUGGUAAAGAAACCCCGGCUAACUCCGUGCCAGCAGCCGCGGUAAUACGGAGGGGGUUAGCGUUGUUCGGAAUUACUGGGCGUAAAGCGCGCGUAGGGGAUUGGAAAGUUGGGGGUGAAAUCCCGGGGCUCAACCCCGAACUGCCUCCAAAACUAUCAGUCUAGAGUUCGAGAGAGGUGAGUGGAAUUCCAAGUGUAGAGGUGAAAUUCGUAGAUAUUUGGAGGAACACCAGUGGCGAAGCGGCUCACUGGCUCGAUACUGACGCUGAGGUGCGAAAGUGUGG